UACGGAGGGGGCUAGCGUUGUUCGGAAUUACUGGGCGUAAAGCGCGCGUAGGCGGAUCUGCAAGUCGGGGGUGAAAUCCCGAGGCUCAACCUCGGAACUGCCUUUGAUACUGUCGAUCUGGAGUAUGGAAGAGGUGAGUGGAAUUCCGAGUGUAGAGGUGAAAUUCGUAGAUAUUCGGAGGAACACCAGUGGCGAAGGCGGCUCACUGGUCCAUUACUGACGCUGAGGUGCGAAAGCGUGGGGAGCAAACAGG
This 253-nucleotide ribosomal RNA is filed under the name uncultured bacterium. RNAcentral's name for it is "partial 16S ribosomal RNA". It matches the Rfam family "Bacterial small subunit ribosomal RNA", at positions 524 to 776 of the family's 1533-position model. The record is from RNAcentral.